Long non-coding RNA from Talpa occidentalis (Iberian mole), 1132 nucleotides. RefSeq lists it as uncharacterized. The record is from RefSeq and is a predicted model, not a curated record. The transcript is spliced from 3 exons. Lineage: Eukaryota; Metazoa; Chordata; Mammalia; Eulipotyphla; Talpidae.
UCCUCUCCCCUUCUUGCUCCCUUUUAACCUUUGCACGGUUUACCCCCAAAUUUAAAUUUCUUAUUUGCACUUAUAUUUUUCCUUGCUCCAGACCUUUGUUCUCUUGGUUUUCUCAAGGUAGGAAGCUGUCUCUACCCUCCAACUUCCUUAUUAGUUCAACUCCCAUUCCUCAGAUUUGCUCAGAGGAAAUGUCCACCGUGAGCCUCUGUCCUACCUUCCCAUCUUGACAUGGGUGCCAUUUCUGCUUUCUUUCUUUUUACUGAACCUACUUCCUGGAAAGUUCAUAUUACAGUGUGUUGGCUCACUUACUUCUCUGUCUCCACCUCUAGACGUGAGAAAAGGGACAUGGUUGAAUAUUUCCCUGGGUCACUUAGUGACCAAAGAAGAAAUAGAAGCCCCGAGAAUCCCUUAACUGAAUGCUUCUGUCACUGCCUGCUGUGUUAUCCUGAUGCUCAUGUUUCCGCAAAAGGGAGAUGGAGCAGCUCUGGCACGGCUGGUUCACAGUGGUCUCCUGUGCAGCUGUCAUCACCCUGGGGACUUUGGUGAACCUGGCCAGCACGGCACAGACCACCUCCAUCCAAAGGGACUGGAUUGUCAGCCUCAUAGGUGAAAAGCAAAUGCCAGCUCUUUGGUGAGUGGUGCCACUUUGGGCAUCCUGAGUCCUUUGAUUGACUGUAAGUAGGCUUAGUGAGUCUAUGAGUCAAUCAGGGCCCCAAGGGAGGUAUUUGUAGUUGAGUCCAGCUCAAAUCAGUUACAGCUCUUACAAGCUACAAGUUAUUUAACUUCUCUAUAUUUACUUCCCUUAUCUGUAGAAUAGGAGAAACAAUGACACUACCUCUCAACUCCCAACCCCAGCUCCAUUUGGGGAAGAAUUCUGUGAGAUAAAGGAUUUGUGAAGCACUGAGCACACUCUACCUGUACAUAGGAACCAUGUGAGAAAUAGAUGAAAUUAUUCCUAAGGAGAUAUAGACUGUACUUUGAAGAGAAAAAACGCUCAACAUACAUACAGAAGGCAAUUUUGUUUUUUUUAAAAAAAAAGGAAUUAAGAGUUUCAACAUUCUGGCCCAUGAUAAGCUUCCACUUCCCCCACAAAAAAAAGUUCAUCCCCCAAAGUUAUCAUUUUCAGUGAUAA